This is a non-coding RNA of Cucurbita pepo subsp. pepo (vegetable marrow), 913 nucleotides long. NCBI's taxonomy places the organism in Eukaryota, Viridiplantae, Streptophyta, Magnoliopsida, Cucurbitales, Cucurbitaceae. The record is from RefSeq and is a predicted model, not a curated record.
UUAUUUUCUCAUGAAGGUUUCUUAGGCAUGCUUCUCCAGCCAGUAACUCUGCCAGUGGAUCAUGGAUCAUGUGCUUCCAAAGCGCUCUUCCUGCUGCCAUUUGACAUGCCGAGCGUUGGAGGAACAAGGUGUGCGCAAGGAAAAAGAGCAGGAUUUUAUGGAAUGGGAUAAGGAAAGAGAGCCACAACAACCAAUGCUUUAAAAAAAAAAGCUCAAUUUAAUGAUAAGGGAGAGUGAGUAUAUAAGUUCCACGAGUGCGUUAAAUCUCGUAUUUUUGCUCUCUCUCUCUCUCUCUCUCUCUCUCUCUCUCUAUUGUGGAUUCUAUUGUGCUGUCUUUCAUCAGAAGAGAAGAGGAAGGGGGCUCCACCGAAAAAGACGCGCGAUCACAUUUGAGUGGCUCAUAGCUCGGAUAUUGAAAUUGCCAUACUACUUCAGUAAUACCAGGAGAGAAUGAUAUAUUGUUUUUAGCUCAAGGGCAUGGGGCCAAAUCAGCAGUUUCCGUAGGAUUUGUGAGUCCAUCUUCACUCACAAAAGUGUAAGUCCCCCUUCAUCUGCUAUAGAAAUGCCCUCCUUUUAAGGCUGGAGUUUCAACAACUCAACAGAUACCCUUAAAAAUUUGGAAGUUCUCAGCUGUGAGCAAGGUGUUUCUGACCGAAUCUCGGGCUAUGGCAAUCAUCCUAUUCAAUCGCCAAGCACUUCAGUGCCUGUGUUCAGCUUAAAAGAAUGCAGAGGGGAAGAGGAUGCGAGGGCAUCCGUUUGCUAAGUUGCACCCUCUUAGCCAUGACGAAUAUUUAGGCGUUUAUUCUCUCUCACAUAUAAAGUUACUCUUUCUGUUUAGGCGUUUAUUCUCUCUCACAUAUAAAGUUACUCUUUCUGCUUAGUUCAAACCAUAAUUAACAUACACUCUUAUACA